UUGUUCCUUUGCAGAAAAAUUGAAACUAACUAGAGGAGUUGCGUUCUGGCAUAUAUCGCAGUAAUUCGGAAAACGUUUUCCAAAAAACUAGCGAGCGGAAAACGUUUUCCGAACUGUUAAAAGUUCGGUUCGUAGUUUCCAAAGUCAACAUAGCAGGGGCAAAUUAGGAAGUUUGGGGGGUGUGCGAGAAAACGGGUAGGUGGGAUGAGAAAAUUUCUGCCAAUCCAAAAGUAAAAUCGUAAAUCGAACCAAACCAAACUGAAAACCGC
RNAcentral lists this long non-coding RNA (269 nucleotides) under Trifolium pratense (red clover). RNAcentral's name for it is "long non-coding RNA (TPRA_LNC012975)". The record is from RNAcentral. Lineage: Eukaryota; Viridiplantae; Streptophyta; Magnoliopsida; Fabales; Fabaceae.